AGGGGUGCAGGAUAAACUGCUGGAUUCCGUGGGCUCACUAGCCAGAAUCAUGUACCUGGCUGAUGAUGCACUAACUAGAGCCGAUCAGUCCGACAUCACCAUGGUCCGCGAAUGGGCCCAUGACGUACGGGAGUGGGCACAAAGAUGCUUUUGUUUUGUGGGUAAUACCAAUGUCGCCCUCUCCUCCGAGUGGCGCAAAGCAGCACUACUC
This is a non-coding RNA of Pelobates cultripes (western spadefoot toad), 211 nucleotides long. The record is from the annotation of a GenBank genome assembly. Lineage: Eukaryota; Metazoa; Chordata; Amphibia; Anura; Pelobatidae.